This 66-nucleotide transfer RNA is filed under the name Microgale jenkinsae (Jenkins' shrew tenrec). Its description in RNAcentral is "partial tRNA-Val". It matches the Rfam family "tRNA". From Rfam's summary of the family: Transfer RNA (tRNA) molecules are approximately 80 nucleotides in length. Their secondary structure includes four short double-helical elements and three loops (D, anti-codon, and T loops). Lineage: Eukaryota; Metazoa; Chordata; Mammalia; Afrosoricida; Tenrecidae. The record is from RNAcentral.
AAAAUGUAGCUUAAUAAAAGCACCUGGCUUACACCCAGAAGAUUUCAGCAAUACUGACCAUUUUGA